RNAcentral lists this ribosomal RNA (856 nucleotides) under uncultured bacterium. RNAcentral's name for it is "bacterial SSU rRNA". It matches the Rfam family "Bacterial small subunit ribosomal RNA", at positions 524 to 1380 of the family's 1533-position model. The record is from RNAcentral.
UACGGAGGGAGCAAGCGUUAUUACGGAAUCACUGGGCGUAAAGGACGCGUAGGCGGGUUGGUAAGUCAGAUGUGAAAUCCUACAGCUCAACUGUAGAACGGCAUUUUGAAACUACCGACCUAAGUAUGGAAGGGCAGAUGAAUAUGGUGUAGGGGUAAAAUCCGUAGAUAUCCUAGGAAUACCGAAAGCGAAGGCGAUCUGCUGGGACAUUACUGACGCUGAGGCGUGAAAGCGUGGGGAGCAAACAGGAUUAGAUACCCUGGUAGUCCACGCCCUAAACGAUGAACACUAGUCGUCGGAGUACACGUUACUUCGGUGAUGCACUUAACAGAUUAAGUGUUCCGCCUGGGGAGUACGGUCGCAAGAUUAAAACUCAAAGGAAUAGACGGGGACCCGCACAAGUGGUGGAGCAUGUGGUUUAAUUCGAAGAUACGCGAAGAACCUUACCUAGCCUUGACAUUGAUAGAAUUCGGUAGAGAUACCGGAGUGCCAGUUUACUGGAGCUUGAAAACAGGUGCUGCACGGCUGUCGUCAGCUCGUGUCGUGAGAUGUUGGGUUAAGUCCCGCAACGAGCGCAACCCUCGUCCUUAGUUGCCAGCAGUUCGGCUGGGCACUCUAGGGAGACUGCCUUCGUAAGGAGGAGGAAGGUGAGGACGACGUCAAGUCAUCAUGGCCCUUACGGCUAGGGCUACACACGUGCUACAAUGGGGCGUACAGAGUGUUGCGAUACCGCGAGGUGGAGCUAAUCACUUAAAGCGUCUCUCAGUUCGGAUUGGAGUCUGCAACUCGACUCCAUGAAGCUGGAAUCACUAGUAAUCGUAGAUCAGCAAUGCUACGGUGAAUACGUUCCCGGGUC